GUGCCACCAGGCCUUACACCAAGAGAGCCAUUCCAGAGAAAAGUCCUUUUUCUCCUGAGAACAGUGCCAGCAGCUGGCUUCGUGACAUUCUGGAAGCCCCGUGCAAUGCUGUCAGGAGCAUAGGGAUUUUACUUUAUCUCCCUUGCUUAUGCUCCACAUAACUGAAAUAUCUCACUGGAAGCUGCAGCAGUGCUGGCCCCUUGCACAGCCAUAUGUGACCACUGCAGAACAAUCAGUUGGAGAGACAGUUUGGACUACAUGGAGGGUGGAGAUAAGGACAAAGUGAAGAAUACACAGGAACCAGUGCCUCCUCCUGGAACUAUGCAACUCCAAGCUGCUUCCAUCAGCUGCUAGGUCCAGUAGGGAGGGACCUACUGAGAGGUACUCAGACCCAGAACAUACUGUUUUCACUCCAAGAGUCUGAAUGUCUCUUUUCUGAGAAAGAUGAAGAAAAAGUACUUUUUUCAUGAAUUUAAUACUCAUUAAAGUCAAUAGUCGGAAAGCCUGGCUAAUUAGCAGACUUCUUCAGAGGACUUUAAAUAAUAUAGUUACUGUAUUUUUAUUAUAUUGAAAUCUCCAAAUAUAUAAAGUUAGAAUCUUCAAGGUGGGAGGAAGAGGAGAAAUUGGAUUUCUCUAAGCUCCCUAGUGAUUCUGAUGAUGACUCAUUUGGGGAAGUGCAGCAUUGAAUGGCCCUUCUAAAAUGAGGACAGCUAUUUUUUGGACUAAGCACCCCUCCCGACUCUCCCCAUUCCUCAUCCUCUCAGAGACUUCUCUCUCUCAGAUUGCCCCAUCUGUCUCAUGUAUUAUAAUCACUUCCCCUCUACUGGUUUCUUCUCAUACGUUUAACUUGUUCAAGUGCCUUCCAUCUUUAAAAACAGUCAAGGCACAGCCCUUGAUUUAACCAUAGGAAGCCCGCUCCCCACCACCCUGCCAUCAGCUCUCUUCUUCCUGUGUAGUGAGCACUGCUUCUUUGAGCUUCUGAAAGCUGUAGUCACUGCCUCUUGCUGGUAACUGAAAGCACAUUUCUAAGUUCGCAUAUUCCCUGACUUCUUGACAGCACUCAUGACUCGCCAUCUCCUUUUCUGGAACACUGUUUGCUUGGCUUUCACAAUAUCAUGCUUUUCUAGUUCUUUUUCCUGUUUUGGACACUGCUUUACAGAGAAUUAACAUUCCUCUUUUUCCCGCUGACCCUGAAUCAAGAAAGAAUCAUGUUUCUUUCUUUAUUUUUUAUAUCUUAACUUUUGAGGGGUAGAUUUUCAAGCAUACAUAAAAGUGAAGAGAACAGGAUAAUGAACUAGGUGUACACAUGACUGCAUCUUAUCAGUGCAAUACACACUCAUAUUACUUUUUCUAUACUUCAUCCAUUUUCUCCCUGCUCCCUGACUUGGAUCAAAUCCCAGACAUUACAUUAUUUAACCUGCAAAUAUUUCAUCAUAUAUAUGUGGGAAUAUAUAGAUCUCUAUCACUAUAUAUAGUGAGAAUUUCUUUCAAAGAAAAGAUAAUCACAAUAUUAUAAUCUCAUCAAAUGUAGUUGUUAUAAUUCCUUAAUGUCAGUCUAAUAACAAUCCUGUUUUCACAAUUUCUUCUCUUGUAGAUUUUUAAAAAUUAAUUUUGUUGAAUUGAAAUCUAAAUAAGAUACAGAGAUAAAGAUUCAUUGACAUGUCCCUUAAGUAUUUUAGUUUAUAGGCUGUCCUACUAUAUUCCCUGCCUCUUCUUGCAUUUUAUCUUGAUUCAGUUGAAAACUCUGGGUCAUUUGUCUUAUAAAGUUCAUGGGGUCUGCAAUUUGGUGAAGGUGUCCUUUUGGCAUUAUUUAACAUGCGUCUCUGUUCCUUGUAUUUUCUAGAAAUUAUUGGUUAUAUCUAGAGGUUUGAUCAGAUUUAGGUGAAAUUAUAAAAAGAUUCCGUCAUAGGUGAUUUUGUGAAGUUCCAUCAGAAGGUACCCAUCUGGUUUUCUCUCCUUUUGUGAUGCUAGCAGCCACUGAAUAUGGUAAUCUACUCCAAUCAUUAACUAAAUUUCUUUUCUGGAAUUAUUCCAAAAGAGAAACUUUUUUCAUCAUGCAUUUGGUUGUCCUGAGGUAUGAUUGUAUAGGAAAAACAGGAUAACCUACUGAUACUUUCUGUUUAAACUAGUAUUCAAAAUAAUAAAAGUAGUCCCCUAGUAUUAUCUAAAGAUUUCAAAAGACUUUUAAAAAAAUUAUUGAUGAUUUUAUGAGCUCAGGGAUUAAACAUAGUCAAUCUGUUUCAAUCCCUUGCAGUUAUUCCAAUUAAUAAUCAAAUUUUCCUGCCUUUGGCUUGCGGCAGCGUAUUCAUGUUGAAUUCUGGGUCACUUUGACAUGACUCCAGUUGUCUUUGAUGGUAUCCUUUUUGUGACAAAAUGUCCCAGGAUUAUAAUUUCCUGUCCCAUACUGGGAAACAGCCAGUUCUCCAAAGAGCUCUGGAACCAUUCAGUGAGAAAUGUAUUUAGAUGCAACAUUCUGGGUGCUAAGCAUGCCCAUUAACCUGAUCAAUCUCACGUCUUUCCUUUCUUUCAGCAUUGCCAGAAAACUCAUUUCUCAGUGACACCAUUGUAAUUACUCAUUUGAUUAUCCCGCAAUACACAUAUAAGAGUCUCAGGAAAACAGUACCAUCAGCAUUAUAUGGUAAUAUCUACAAGCACUUUAAUAUUUUCUUAUUGGGGGUACACUUUUUUCCAUAGAGAAUAUUUUACUAGGUAAGAACAAUAAUAUUGAUAUGUUUUAAUUUUUCUUGAAGUGGUUCUUCUGUAUGAGGUUAUAUCACCAAGUAGAUAUACAGUUAUAAUGUUUGAUUAUUACACAUUGCUUUUCUUAAAAUUUAAUUUUGUUUUAAAGCUAUUAAAAUCAGGUUUCUUAAAGAAAGAUCCUCAUUCUAUCUGGAUCAAAAUCACUUUCAGAGCUAAUUAAAAAUGUGGUGUCCUGGACUCACGAAGCCAGAAUUGCUGAGGAGAUAGCCCGAGAAUCUGAAUUUUUAGCAGACAUUUUUUUAGGUACCUUACCCGCAGGAUCAUUUCUGUGAAUAUCCAUGAGGUGAAAAAGUCUGGGAAACACUGUCCUAGGGUGUGGGGAAGAGCGAGAAAAAGAUUUCCGCUCUGGAAGGUAAACAAAUACUCUCUGGAGAGAGAAGAGGAAUGUCCCUAGCAGAUGUCUCCAGAGAAGACAAGACUUUAAAUUCCGCCAGGGAAAUAUACAAUGUCUAACUUCUAAGGCACAUUUGCCAUUCAAUCAUGCUUUAACCCACGUUGCCAGAAAUUUUUGCUCACUAGGUUUUGACUGUACAGGAAUGUGAAAAUAUUCAUGAAGAGUUGUUUUCCAAUGCUAAAGAAUUGAUGUGUUUUAACAGUUGAAUUAAUUGUAUUGAUUAUGAUCACACCUACUUUUUAUAUAUCUUCAUUUCUAACGUUUCUGUACAAUCCUGCCUUUCCACCUGAUAUAGUUAGGCCUUGUGUCAUCAACCAAAUCUCAUCUUGAAUUGUAAUCGCCAUAAUCCCCACGUAUUUAGGGAGAGACCUGGAGGGAGGUGUUUGGAUCAUGGGGGCGGUUUCCCGCAUGCUGUUCUCAUGACCAUGAGAGUAAGUUCUCAAGAGAUCUGAUGGUUUUAUAAGCGUCUGUCAUUUCCACUGCUUGCACUUCUGUGUCCUGCCACCUUGUGAAGAAGGACGUGGUUGCUUCCCCUUCCACCAUGAUUGUGUUUCCUGAGGCCUCCCCAGCCUUGCAGAGCUGUGAGUCAAUUAAACCUCUUUCCUUUAUAAAUUACUCAGUCUCUGUAUUCCUCUGCAGCAGUGUGAGAACAGACUAAUACAUCACCACUUUAUUUACUUUACUCUCUCCCCAUACCGAGGUUUUCUACAUUUUCUUUCUAGGUCUCUACAGUUUCUGCAAAGAUCCUUUAUGGAACUCUUAGGGAAGCUGGGAUGUAUAAUAAAUAAAGGGCUCUUUUCUUUGAGUCCCACACCCAUUUUCUGUGUAUAAAAAUCUUCAACUCCACUUUUGUCUGUUCUAUUUAAAUGUGUGCACAUUUCCUUCUAAUGUUGUAUAUGAAAAAGAGACACCUCUUAGCAGUCUUUCAUAGAGCAAAAUUUUUUACUUUGAUAAAAUCUAAUUUAUCAAUAUUUUUAAAUUUUAUGGAUCAAUCAUGCUUUUGAGGUUGAAUUUAAGAAUGCUUUGCCUAGCCCUAGAUCCCAAGUAUCUUUUAAAAAUUAUUUUUCUAAAUGCAUUAUUUAUGUUUUACACUUAAGUCUAUAAUCCAUUUUGAGUCCAUGUGUAAGAUUUAGGUUAAGGUCAAGAUUUAUCUGUUUUUGUUGUUUUCUCUAUAAAUGUCAAUUGCUCCAGCACUAUUUGUUUAAAAGCCAAUCUUUCCUCCGCUGAGUUCUUCCUAUAAGUUUGUCAAAAGUCAAUUUGGCAUCUUUGUAUAAGUUUAUUUCUGGAUUCUCUAUUCUGUUUUAUUGAUCACUGCAUCUAUCCCUCUUGAUUAGCUAGAUAAUAAAUCCUACAAUAAGGUAGAAUUCUUCCCACUUUAUUCAUAUUCAAAAUAUUUUAAAGCUAUUCUAGUUUCUUUUUAUUUCCAUAUAUAUUUUAGGAUAAUCUUAUCUAUAUUUACAACAUAUGUUGCUAGGAUUUUGAUAGAAUUUGUUUUAAAUUUGUGUAUCAAUGUAGGGAAGACCUGACAUCUUUACUAUUACGUUGAUCUUCCAAUCAAUGAAUAUGGUAUAUCUCUCAGUUUAUAGCUAUUGUCUUUAAUUUAUUUCAUCAUGGUUUUUAGUUUUCAGCAGAGAAGCUUUAUACAUGUUUUGUUAUACAUGUAUAACAAAAGAAGCCUUAUACACUGACAUUUUAUAUUUUGAACAAUUGUAAAUGGUAUUGUUUAAAAAUUUUGUUGUCUAUGAUAGAAAUAAAAUUGAUUUUUGUAGGUUUAUCUUGUAACCUAUGACUUGCUGAGCUCGCUCAUUAGUUUUUUUAUUGUGAUAAAAUAUACAUGAGAUAAAUUUCAUCAUUAUAAUCAUUAAGUUUAGACAUCAAUUGCAUUAAGUACAUAAAUGCCUUAUGCAACCAUCAUCUCUAUCCAUCUCCAGACCCUUUGCAUCACCCUAAAAUGAAACUCUGUGCCCAUUAAACAAUAACUCCCCAUUCUGCCCUCACCCCAGCCCUUGGUAAUUACCAUCCUACCUUUUAUCUCUAUAAAUUUAACCAUCCCAGGUAACUCAUAUAAGUGGAAUCAUGCAGUGUUUGUCCUUUUGUAACUGGUUUAUUUCACUUAGCAUGAUGUCUUCAAGGUUUGCCUAUGUCAUAGCAUGUGUCAGAAUUUCAUCCCUUUUUAAACUUAAAUAAUAUUCCACUGUAGGCAUAUGCCACAUUUUGUUUAUUUGUUCAUCUGUUGAUGGGCAUUUGGGUUGUUUCCACCUUUUGGCUACUGUGAAUAAUGCUGCUGUGAUCAUGGGUAUGCAACUGUCUCCUGGAGUCCCUGCUAUCAAUUCUUGUGGGUAUAUACCCAGAAGUGGAAUUGUUGCAACAUAUAGUAAUUCUAUGUUUAAUUUUUUGAGGACCUGCCAUAAUGUUUUCCACAGUAGCUACAUUGUCUUAUAUUCCCAUUAAGAGUUCCAAUUUCCUCACAUCUUCACCAAUACUUAUUGUUUUCUGUUUUUUUAAAUAAUAGCCAUCAUAAUAAAAGUAACAUGGUAUCUCAUUGUGGUUUUAACUGCAUUUCCCUUUUUACUGGAUUGUUUGUAAUAUUGCUGUAAUUGAGUUGUAGGAGUUUUUAAAUAUGUUCUGAAUAAUUAAUUUCUUAUCAGAUAUGUCAUUUGCAAAUAUUUUCUGCCAUUCUCUGGGUUGUCAUUUCACUCUCUUGAUAGUGUCCUUUGAUGCACAGAAGUUUUGAAAUUUGAUAAAGUUUAAUUUGCGUAUGUAUUUAUUUUGUUGCUUAUGCUUUUGGUGUCAUAUCCAAGAAAUUAUUGCCAAAUUCAGUGUCAUGAAGAUUUUCCCCUGUGUUUUCCUCUAAGAGUAUUAUAGUUUUAACUCUUGCACUUAGAUUGAUCCGCUUUGAGUUAAUUUUAGUAUAUGGGGUAAGACAAGGGCUCAAAUUUGUUCUUUUGUUUGAAGAUUCUAGGUCAUUUGUGAUCUUUAGGAUUUUCUAUGUAGACAUUAAUGUCAUCUUCAAAUAUGAACAGUUUAUUUCUUCCUUUUGUAUAUGUAUGAAUUUACUUUCCUUUUCUUGCCUUAUUGCACUGGCUAGAGUUUUCAGUACUAUGAUGAAUAAAAUCAGUGAGAGCAGACACCCUUGCUUUGUUUCUAAUCUUAGGAGGAAAGCUUUCAGUCUUUCAUCAUUAGGUAUACUGUUAGUUGUAGGCUUAUUAUAGAUGCUCUUUAUCAGGUUGAGGCAGUUUCCUCCUUGGUUAAGACUUUCUAUUUUUCAUUUUCAGUUAUGACCAGGCAUGUUCAUAACUGCUCAUCAAAACUUUGAAUUAGUGGCUGCUUUAACAUCCUUCUCAGACAAUUCUAACAUCUGUUUUGUUGGUGGUGGCAUCUAUCAAUUGUCUUUUUCAUUCUGUUUGAGAUCUUCCUUGCGUUUGGUAUGAUUUUUUUAAAUAUUAUGUCAUGAAACUGCAUCUUAUUUAAAUCUUCUGUUUUAGUUGGCUAUGUCUGACAUCACUUCCCCAGGGGAAGGUGUUGUUACUGCUAGUGGAGGGUGAGAAUUAUGGCUCUCCACUGACAUUGUGGUGGGAUUGGUCCCAUUACCACUGGGCAGGGUUGAAAGUCCUGACUUUCUGCUAGGCCUUCUCUGACUUCAUCGCAGCAGGAGGAAAAGAUGCCUCUGGAGUUGAAGUCAGGUUGCACUGACACUGUGUGUGUAUGGAGGUAGGCUGGGGUGAAAGUGGAGACUCAUUACCACAUGGUGAGUAGUUUCCAGCUCUCUAUUUGGCCUUCUCUGAUACCACCCAGACAGGGACAUUGGGGAUACCUCAUUACAGCCUAGUGAGGGUCAAACUCUAGGCUCCCCACUCAGUCUUUGCUAUCAUGGACACUGUAGGACCAUAGUUUUUUCUGUGCUGUUUGCUUGAUGUGUCUUCCUUGGACCCUGAGUUCCAUAGCUGGUCUGCAUUCCUCUCUCCACCUUUAAGACGUCUUCUUAUGUUUAUUUCAUAUUUAACAUCCAGGGUGGUAAUUAGAGGGAAGAAUAGAGGGAAAAGUACAGUUGCACUUUGUUGUUCAAAGAGCAGUUUUGAACUGCACAGACCCAUUUCUCUGAGCACACCCAGGGAUGAUUGUACUUGUAUAAAAUUUUUUUCCUGGAUGCAGAAUUCUCAAUUGACUGUGAAAGUUCAUAACAAAGAAAACAGUGGGGAAGACAAAUCUGGAAAUGAGGAAAAUAAAAAUUAAAUAGUGAGACCACCCAUGGAGCUUGUGGCAAAGCCUGAAUUGAAUCCGCUGUAUCUUAAGAUUGUGCCUCAUUCUAAAUUUAAGUCACCCUUCUCAUUAUGAAAGUGUCACAACUUCUCAGUAGGUGAGGAGACAGUCUAAAUUUGAGAAAAGAAAGUUACAACAAAGGUUUUGAGCAAGCUGCUAAGUGGAUUUAUUCAUGUUUGAGAAAUCAAAUAUAUGGUUAAUGAGCUCUUUAACUAGAAGCCAACACUAGGGAGGAGUAGACAGAAGUCACGGGGAGGGAGCCCCCGGACAUUUCAAAAGACUUUGCCCUGCAACAUCUCCUCCACAUUUAAGCUUUUAGGUUAUUGUAGCCACAUCACAAGCAUGUUACCUACCCAGAUAUUGUCUGCGCAUCAUUCCCAAAAGCUUCCCUGGGUCUUCAUAAUAUUAAUGAGAUUCUCCCCCAGGUUAGACCCCUUUGGCUUGAGUCAGAAACAGAAUUAAUCCGGGGGACAAUCCAGCAGCACCCAUCUCUGGGUUGCAGAAAUAUCUGAGGUGACCAGGCAGUGUUUGGAGUCCCCUCAGUUAGCUAACAAAGUGAGUUCACAGCUUCCAAGACCCCAGGCUUUCCAGGCUAAUAAAGAGCUGAGGUUAUAGGCUCUCCUUAUCAAACGCUCUUUGGCAGCUGCCAUAACCAUUCCAAGUCUAGUCCUAGAAUAGAAAUGACGCGGUUUCAGGAGCUGACAGAUGGAACUUUAAGCCUUCCUUCCUGCCACAUCUGAAGUUCUUUUUUAAAAAAAUAGAAAACCAUGACAAUAAACACUCCUUGAAUGCCCUGUGGAAAAGUGUACUCCUCAGAAUUCACUAAAGUGGGGUGAAGCAGUGGGUUGUGGUGCUGAGAAAACAUCUCUUCCCCUCGGCAGUAUAUUGGAAUCUCAUAGAAACUUCUGUGGCUGGGAAGCAAACAUGCUCUCUGCCCCAUUGCUCUUAUUCAUCUUUAGACCUGAUAAUACAGUUUGAACUUCAAGUUGCACUUUAAAUGGCAUGCAUUUUUA
RNAcentral lists this long non-coding RNA (8427 nucleotides) under Homo sapiens (human). RNAcentral's name for it is "HSALNT0024033". The record is from RNAcentral. Lineage: Eukaryota; Metazoa; Chordata; Mammalia; Primates; Hominidae.